This 1985-nucleotide long non-coding RNA is filed under the name Homo sapiens (human). RNAcentral describes it as "non-protein coding lnc-TKT-3:3". The record is from RNAcentral. Lineage: Eukaryota; Metazoa; Chordata; Mammalia; Primates; Hominidae.
AGAGGGGCUAGGCUCUGGGAUUCAAGAUGGAGGCGCUGAGUCGAGCUGGGCAGGAGAUGAGCCUAGCGGCCCUGAAGCAACACGACCCCUAUAUCACCAGCAUCGCAGACCUCACGGGCCAGGUCGCUCUGUACACCUUCUGCCCCAAGGCCAACCAGUGGGAGAAGACUGAUAUAGAAGGGACCUUAUUCGUAUAUCGAAGGUCAGCUUCCCCUUACCAUGGUUUUACCAUUGUGAAUCGACUAAAUAUGCACAAUCUAGUUGAACCAGUGAAUAAAGAUUUGGAAUUUCAGCUCCAUGAACCAUUUCUUCUGUAUAGAAAUGCAAGCUUGUCGAUAUAUAGUAUCUGGUUUUAUGACAAGAAUGACUGUCACCGCAUAGCAAAACUCAUGGCUGAUGUGGUAGAAGAGGAGACACGGCGAUCCCAGCAAGCUGCUCGGGACAAACAGAGUCCCAGCCAGGCCAAUGGCUGCAGCGACCACAGGCCCAUCGACAUCCUGGAGAUGCUGAGCAGAGCCAAGGAUGAGUAUGAGAGGAAUCAGAUGGGUGACUCAAAUAUCUCCAGCCCUGGGUUACAGCCAAGCACUCAGCUCUCCAAUCUGGGAAGCACCGAGACUCUAGAAGAAAUGCCCUCCGGGUCACAGGAUAAGUCUGCUCCAUCUGGACACAAGCAUCUGACGGUAGAAGAGUUAUUUGGAACCUCUUUGCCAAAGGAACAACCAGCAGUUGUGGGUCUGGAUUCAGAAGAAAUGGAGAGGUUGCCAGGAGAUGCCUCCCAGAAAGAGCCCAAUUCAUUCCUACCAUUUCCCUUUGAGCAGUUAGGAGGAGCCCCUCAAUCAGAAACCCUGGGUGUCCCUUCUGCUGCCCACCAUUCAGUCCAGCCUGAAAUCACCACCCCGGUGCUAAUCACUCCAGCCUCCAUCACACAGUCCAAUGAAAAGCAUGCUCCAACCUACACAAUCCCGUUGAGCCCUGUUCUCAGUCCCACUCUGCCAGCUGAAGCUCCUACUGCACAGGUUCCCCCCAGCUUACCUCGAAACAGCACCAUGAUGCAGGCAGUGAAGACCACGCCUAGACAGAGGUCUCCACUCCUGAACCAGCCAGUCCCUGAGCUAAGCCAUGCCAGUCUGAUUGCCAACCAGAGCCCCUUCAGGGCCCCAUUGAACGUGACGAACACAGCUGGCACAUCCCUCCCAAGCGUUGAUCUUCUCCAGAAACUCAGGUUGACCCCACAGCAUGACCAAAUACAGACACAACCACUUGGGAAAGGUGCAAUGGUAGCCAGCUUUUCUCCGGCAGCUGGUCAGCUAGCCACACCUGAGAGCUUCAUAGAGCCUCCCUCUAAGACAGCAGCAGCAAGAGUGGCGGCCUCAGCCUCCCUGAGCAACAUGGUGCUUGCUCCCCUUCAGUCUAUGCAGCAGAACCAGGAUCCUGAAGUAUUUGUGCAGCCUAAGGUGUUAUCCAGUGCCAAAAGAGUUGCAGGCGCCCCACUGGUUACUGCAACGACCACUGCAGUGUCUUCAGUCCUGCUGGCCCCAAGUGUUUUCCAGCAGACAGUUACAAGAUCUUCGGACCUUGAGAGGAAAGCCAGCUCCCCUUCUCCUCUAACUAUUGGAACGCCAGAAAGUCAGAGAAAGCCUUCCAUUAUUCUCAGCAAGUCUCAGCUCCAGGAUACAUUAAUACAUCUAAUAAAGAAUGAUUCCAGCUUCCUCAGUACACUUCAUGAAGUCUACUUGCAGGUUCUGACCAAGAACAAAGACAACCACAACCUAUGACUGGAGCAGAAUAAGUCUAAAGGCAGAGCCCCAGCCUCAGAGACAAAUAGGCUUCAUCAUGGAAACUUCUGAGCAGAACAUUGAGUUUGAGAAUCCUGAAAUUGAGCCUAUGAGAAAGAGACUCAUUUCUUAAGAAUGUUUUCCAAGUGACAUUCUCAGUGAUAAUGGAGGUUUCACUGUGAAGCAUCACCAGCAGAUCCUUGUUUUGAC